This 1524-nucleotide long non-coding RNA is filed under the name Monomorium pharaonis (pharaoh ant). RNAcentral describes it as "uncharacterized LOC105840323, transcript variant X2". The record is from RNAcentral. Lineage: Eukaryota; Metazoa; Arthropoda; Insecta; Hymenoptera; Formicidae.
UACCUCGCUACGUCUCACAUGGCGUACAUAUGUAAACACGCUGAUUGCAUAACCUCUGAAAAUUGAUUUUUGCUGUGCAACAAAUUUAUUUAAUUGCAAAAAUGUUUAUAAUUGUGGAAACGAUAGAAGAAGGGGAAGUAAAUUUAUGUGUCGUACCCGAAAGUUGGGAAAAGAACGGGAUUUUAUUUUGGCCGCCAGAACGAAAAGGAAUGAAUCUCCGAAAAAACGAUAGUAUUUUACCAGACAAUAAUUGGUCAAAACAAAAAUGUACGGUAAAAAAAAGAAAUUUUACUAUGUUUCAAGCCGCUGUUCAAGCGGAAAAAUAUUUAAGUCAGUUUAAUGAUACUGAGGAUGAAGAGAAUUUUUUUCUCCUGAAUUCUUCAAGACAAACACAACGUUUCCAGACUAAAGAUAAUUCUCAGACUGAUUUUAAUAAUUUAAUAAUGGAAAAUAACAAUAUUAUAAAUAAUAAUGUAAAACUGGCUAAAAAUGUUGAAAAUCCAGUCAAUAUUAUUCAAGUUAUUGACCCAACUUUGGAAAGUACUUCAAAAAAAUUAGGAAUUAUAGAAUCUACAAAUGCAAUAAUAAUUGAAAGUGAUGAAACUUCCACUUUACUUUUGAACAGUUUUCACGAAUGGUUGGACAAUAUUCAAAGCUCUGAUAUUUAUGUGAUGUUGUAUAAAAUAUUGUAGAAUAAAAUUUUAGUAUUUAUUUAGUCCAAGAACAAUUUGACACAAUAAAAUCAAACCUGGCAAGUUUUGAAAAUCGUAUUCUUCGAGAUUUAUCUGAGUUACAUAUUAAAUUUGACAAAUUAAUCGAUCUUUUGAUUAAAAAUCAAGUUACUACUGAGAGACAUGAAAAGGAUACAUCAAAAAGCGAAAUUCUUGAAAACGAUAUAAAACAAAUGAAACCACUAGCAACGGAAUCGAAUAUUAACAAUUUAGAAAAAAAGCUAUGUAAUCAGGAAUUUGAAUUAGCAUUUAUAAAAGUAAUGAGUAAAAUUGGAGGCACGACUGGUAAAGAAGAUGGGAAAAAAAUAGUGUACUUAUUGAUGGAUCGAUUAUUUGAAAAGCAAUUAUUAACUUUAUGCUCAUGGACUGGUUCUACCAAGAAAAAAGAAGAAAAAAUGAAAAAAAAUUGCUUUUUUAAAAUACAAUCGAAUAAUUAAAAUAUUUUUUAAAAUUUUACAUUUAGCCGAUUCAAAUUAUACGGUUGACGAUAUGAUUUUUCUGAAACGAAUUCUUAAACAGUGUGAGUCGAAGUAAACUGCUUGAAAAACGAUUGAGUAAACAAAAAGGAAAACUCUAAAGAAGCUACUGAACGUGAUGACAAUUACGAUAAAAAUAUAGAAGAAGAAGAACAGCUGUAAACAUAGUUAUCUAUUAUUACAUAAAGAAAAUUUAAUAAUAAAAAUUACUAUGUACGAGAAUAGCUACAAAUCACAAGAAAAAUUUUAAGGAAUUAUACUAUAAGUAAUUCAUACAAAUGGUAAUUUGAAAAACAUGAUAAAAAUUUUUAUAAUUA